This 1367-nucleotide ribosomal RNA is filed under the name uncultured beta proteobacterium. RNAcentral's name for it is "16S ribosomal RNA". It matches the Rfam family "Bacterial small subunit ribosomal RNA", at positions 30 to 1395 of the family's 1533-position model. Lineage: Bacteria; Pseudomonadati; Pseudomonadota; Betaproteobacteria. The record is from RNAcentral.
UGAACGCUGGCGGCAUGCCUUACACAUGCAAGUCGAACGGCAGCACGGGUGCUUGCACCUGGUGGCGAGUGGCGAACGGGUGAGUAAUACAUCGGAACAUGUCCUGUAGUGGGGGAUAGCCCGGCGAAAGCCGGAUUAAUACCGCAUACGAUCUACGGAUGAAAGCGGGGGACCUUCGGGCCUCGCGCUAUAGGGUUGGCCGAUGGCUGAUUAGCUAGUUGGUGGGGUAAAGGCCUACCAAGGCGACGAUCAGUAGCUGGUCUGAGAGGACGACCAGCCACACUGGGACUGAGACACGGCCCAGACUCCUACGGGAGGCAGCAGUGGGGAAUUUUGGACAAUGGGCGAAAGCCUGAUCCAGCAAUGCCGCGUGUGUGAAGAAGGCCUUCGGGUUGUAAAGCACUUUUGUCCGGAAAGAAAUCCUUGGCUCUAAUACAGUCGGGGGAUGACGGUACCGGAAGAAUAAGCACCGGCUAACUACGUGCCAGCAGCCGCGGUAAUACGUAGGGUGCGAGCGUUAAUCGGAAUUACUGGGCGUAAAGCGUGCGCAGGCGGUUUGCUAAGACCGAUGUGAAAUCCCCGGGCUCAACCUGGGAACUGCAUUGGUGACUGGCAUGCUAGAGUAUGGCAGAGGGGGGUAGAAUUCCACGUGUAGCAGUGAAAUGCGUAGAGAUGUGGAGGAAUACCGAUGGCGAAGGCAGCCCCCUGGGCCAAUACUGACGCUCAUGCACGAAAGCGUGGGGAGCAAACAGGAUUAGAUACCCUGGUAGUCCACGCCCUAAACGAUGUCAACUAGUUGUUGGGGAUUCAUUUCCUUAGUAACGUAGCUAACGCGUGAAGUUGACCGCCUGGGGAGUACGGUCGCAAGAUUAAAACUCAAAGGAAUUGACGGGGACCCGCACAAGCGGUGGAUGAUGUGGAUUAAUUCGAUGCAACGCGAAAAACCUUACCUACCCUUGACAUGGUCGGAAUCCCGCUGAGAGGUGGGAGUGCUCGAAAGAGAACCGGCGCACAGGUGCUGCAUGGCUGUCGUCAGCUCGUGUCGUGAGAUGUUGGGUUAAGUCCCGCAACGAGCGCAACCCUUGUCCUUAGUUGCUACGCAAGAGCACUCUAAGGAGACUGCCGGUGACAAACCGGAGGAAGGUGGGGAUGACGUCAAGUCCUCAUGGCCCUUAUGGGUAGGGCUUCACACGUCAUACAAUGGUCGGAACAGAGGGUUGCCAACCCGCGAGGGGGAGCUAAUCCCAGAAAACCGAUCGUAGUCCGGAUUGCACUCUGCAACUCGAGUGCAUGAAGCUGGAAUCGCUAGUAAUCGCGGAUCACGCAUGCCGCGGUGAAUACGUUCCCGGGUCUUGUACACACCGCCC